AAGACCUUGCACUUUUGGAGCGGCCGAUGUCUGAUUAGCUAGUUGGUGGGGUAAUGGCCUACCAAAGCUUCGAUCAGUAGCUGGUCUGAGAGGACGGCCAGCCACACUGGGACUGAGACACGGCCCAGACUCCUAAGGGAGGCAGCAGUGGGGAAUUUUGGACAAUGGGCGCAAGCCUGAUCCAGCCAUGCCGCGUGAGUGAAGAAGGCCUUCGGGUUGUAAAGCUCUUUCAGCCGGGAAGAAAAGGUUGCGACUAAUAAUCGCAAUCCAUGACGGUACCGAAAGAAGAAGCACCGGCUAACUACGUGCCAGCAGCCGCGGUAAUACGUAGGGUGCGAGCGUUAAUCGGAAUUACUGGGCGUAAAGGGUGCGCAGGCGGUUUUGUAAGUCAGAUGUGAAAUCCCCGGGCUUAACCUGGGAACU
This 423-nucleotide ribosomal RNA is filed under the name uncultured bacterium. RNAcentral describes it as "bacterial SSU rRNA". It matches the Rfam family "Bacterial small subunit ribosomal RNA", at positions 207 to 622 of the family's 1533-position model. The record is from RNAcentral.